ACUGAACGGUUGAUUAAGCUUUUGGCUUCGUCUGGAUUUGUCUUUGUUGGCACAGCAAAUUUGUAACAAGAUUGUGUCUAAAAUGAAUGAGGCACCACUAAUACCAUGAAAAGGAGCCUAACGGAAACUAUUUUGGCUGGCAGAGCAAAGAGCUACAGAAUACAAAAGGUCCUGCCCUGGCAGCUCACCACUCCAUUGACAGACAAUAGUUGGUCGCCUCUCUUGAGACCCCCAUGCCUCUCAGCCACGCCCCCUGGGAUGAUGCGGGAGAUGUAGAUCGGUGAGUUCUGCUCUUUUCCGCCCAUCACAUUGAAGCCAAGCCCCUCAUCUGUCUUGGGUAGUUCCACCACCCGCGGGUGAGAAUGACCCUCACUUGCUGCAAAUGCUGCCACUGUGGCCUGGUAAUAACAAAAGAGUUCAAAAUA
Long non-coding RNA from Carassius carassius (crucian carp), 425 nucleotides. RefSeq lists it as uncharacterized. The transcript is spliced from 3 exons. The record is from RefSeq and is a predicted model, not a curated record. NCBI's taxonomy places the organism in Eukaryota, Metazoa, Chordata, Actinopteri, Cypriniformes, Cyprinidae.